This 91-nucleotide small nucleolar RNA is filed under the name Jaculus jaculus (lesser Egyptian jerboa). RNAcentral describes it as "Small nucleolar RNA SNORD116 (ENSJJAG00000005966.1)". It matches the Rfam family "Small nucleolar RNA SNORD116". Rfam says of the family: HBII-85 is a member of the C/D class of snoRNAs, which contain the C (UGAUGA) and D (CUGA) box motifs. Lineage: Eukaryota; Metazoa; Chordata; Mammalia; Rodentia; Dipodidae. The record is from Rfam by way of RNAcentral.
GGAUCAAUGAUGACUCCCACAAACCAUAUCCCAGAAGCUGAACAAAAUGAGUGAGAGCUCACACUCUUCGUUCUCAUCGUGACUGAGGUCC